Molecule: ribosomal RNA, 457 nt
Filed under: uncultured bacterium
Lineage: Bacteria
Description: bacterial SSU rRNA
Rfam family: Bacterial small subunit ribosomal RNA
Source: RNAcentral
AACGAACGCUGGCGGCAUGCCUAACACAUGCAAGUCGAACGGGAUCCUAGCUUGCUAGGUGAGAGUGGCGGACGGGUGAGUAACACGUGGGAAUCUGCCUUUUGGUUCGGGAUAACCGCGGGAAACUGCGGCUAAUACCGAAUGCCCUCGAGAGAGGAAAGAUUUAUCGCCAGAAGAGGAGCCCGCGUCCGAUUAGGUAGUUGGUGGGGUAAAGGCCUACCAAGCCGACGAUCGGUAGCUAGUCUGAGAGGAUGAUCAGCCACACUGGGACUGAGAUACGGCCCAGACUCCUACGGGAGGCAGCAGUGGGAAUAUUGGACAAUGGGGGCAACCCUGAUCCAGCAAUGCCGCGUGAGUGAUGAAGGCCUUAGGGUUGUAAAGCUCUUUUGCCAGGGAAGAUGAUGACUGUACUUGGAGAAUAAGCCCCGGCUAACUUCGUGCCAGCAGCCGCGGUAAU